AUACGGAGGAUCCGAGCGUUAUCCGGAUUUAUUGGGUUUAAAGGGUGCGCAGGCGGCCAUUUAAGUCAGCGGUUAAAUCGUGGGGCUCAACCCCAUUCUGCCGUUGAUACUGGGUGGCUUGAUUGCGGUCGAGGUUGGCGGAAUUCGUUGUGUAGCGGUGAAAUGCAUAGAUAUGACGAACAACGCCGAUUGCGGAGGCAGCGGACCAGACCGAGAAUGACGCUCAUUCACUAAAGUGCGGGGAGCGAACAGGUUUAGAUACCCUUGUAGUGCGCACAGGAAACGAUGAAUACUGGUUUUCGGCGAUAGAAUGUCGGAGGCAAAGCGAAAGCGAUAAGUAUGCCACCUGGGGAGUACGCCGGCAACGGUGAAACUCAAAUGAAUUGACGGGG
This 392-nucleotide ribosomal RNA is filed under the name uncultured bacterium. RNAcentral's name for it is "partial 16S ribosomal RNA". It matches the Rfam family "Bacterial small subunit ribosomal RNA", at positions 523 to 918 of the family's 1533-position model. The record is from RNAcentral.